UUUUUUUUUUUUUUCAAGAUGGAGUCUUGCUCUGUGGCCCAGGCUGGGGUGCAGUGCCGUGAUCUCCGUUCACUGCAACCUCUGCCUCCCAGGCUCAAACAAUUCUCCAGUCUCUCUUCUGAACACAAGCCACUAACAGCCAGCUAAUUUUUGCAUUUUUUGUAGAGACGGGGUUUCAUCAUGUUGCCCAGGCUGGUCUCGAACUCCUGAGCUCAAAGCGACCCAUCUGCCUCGGCCUCCCAAAGUGCUGGGAUUACAGGCAUGAGCCACCCAGCAGAUUCAACAAGUUUUGGCAAGUACUUUCGUAUCCUUUACACUCAUUUUUCACAUCUGUAAAAUGGGGAUGACAUUAUUUACUUGGCAGAUUUGUGGUGAGUAGUAGAUCUUAGAAACUCAGCUGUUUGAAAUCCUGUGAAAUUAUUAUUUCUAUUGGGCUCUGAAGUCUUUGAAAGGACAGAUGGUAUUUUCUUUAUCUUUGUAUACUUAACCUCUAAUAUAGUAAAUAUCUGGCACGUAGUAUCUACUUAAAUGUAACUUUUCAGAAAACUCUUCCCCAAUACUUCAUCUAAAUAAGUAUCCCCUUGUUAUUCAUUAUAUUAUUUUCCUUUAUAGUCCCUGAAAUGAUAUAGUAUUUGUAUAUUGUCUACUUUUUCACUAGACUGUAAUUUCCAUGAGAUUAGUAAUCUUGUCUGUCUGGGUGGCCAGAGUCUAGAGCAAUGCCUGCUAAGAGCAGGUGCUCAAAAUGUAUUUGUGGAAUGGAAACAUAAAUGAAUGGUAGUUGCUUAAUUAUUACUAGUAGUGGCAGUGGUUUACACGGUAUCAGAACCAACACAAAGGGACGCCUUUAGUCAUCUUUGCAAAGCUCACCAGAAAGGAUGACAAUGAUCAGAAACCUUUCAAGUUUCCUCCUCACAGAAUUCUGCCUGGGAACCUUUAUUAAGGAUGGCCGAUUUCACCAGGCCUCCACCAGGAGGCCCUUUAUGCUAAACUGAGCAGAGUGAAUGUUUUAUGACGUGGACAAGGGCUGCCUCAGAGCCUGAACUGGGGCCAUCUGGGGGGAGUGGGGUGGGGCCACACCCUCUCCCUGGGCUCUGCACCACUGAAAGGCUCCAGACGGCUCGGGCCCUGGGCCAAGCUGCUUGGUUCCAGUGGGAAAGCUGACCUUGGCCAGGAAGAACCAGGAAGAGGCACAAAUGACUCAUUGUCCCACAUCCUCCAAGGUAAAAACCCAGCAGUGUGUGUGGCCUUUAGGGCUGGAUGUUAUUGCAGCCUUGGCUCCUUCCUCAGCCAAAAUAAAAGCACUCGGCCAGUAACACUUGCACAGCCUAGGAUACAACCAACGGCUCUCUUCCGUUGUUCUAUUCAACACACUUCCCUGCACUUAAAGUUUUAAAAUAUCGUGCACAUAACAUUAUGAUUUCAGUUCUAAAUGUAAACCAUAAUUUCUUUUUAAAGACGUACGGCAGCCUUCAUUUCCAGUCAAGGCAUGUGCCAUUUUAGGGUCCCGGGGAAGAAAUACGAUAUGCUUUCAGGUCACGUGUGAAGGAGGUCUCACCGGAAAGUGCUUAGUUUAUUCAGAAGUUUGGAAUCUAAAGCGCUGAUUUGUAAGAUGCGCUGCUGCCUCCAGAUUUCCACUAGAGGGCAGUCUUGGAAAAUGUUUAUAGAUACAUAUUUUAUUGCUAUGUCUAGGAAAUGUGUCUUGCUUUUAAAAGGAACAAACAAACAAAAAACCCAUGUAAAAUUUAGGGCAAGCUCUUUGGCUCCACUUGGAA
RNAcentral lists this long non-coding RNA (1772 nucleotides) under Macaca fascicularis (crab-eating macaque). Its description in RNAcentral is "lncRNA (ENSMFAG00000062573.1)". The record is from RNAcentral. Lineage: Eukaryota; Metazoa; Chordata; Mammalia; Primates; Cercopithecidae.